UGGGUUCUUCAACUGCUCUCCUGCCGUGGAUGUCCCACCCAAUGCGUGCGAAUUGGAUACCAAAGACACUGAUGUCAAAGACAAUGGCGUAGCCAAGCCUCUUCAGAGUGGGUUGCUGGCAAAGCUCUGAAUAUCUUCCAAAUGGAUUCUAUGCUAGAAAGCAACUUGAUAAAGUAGCGUUUUCUCCUCCCGCCAUCCAAUCGCAGCAUUGGCAACUAGGCGAUGAGCCUGAUCAUUGUUAGUGGUUUUUGCACAUCAGGAUAUAUAUAUAUAUAUUUCUUUGGGUAUAAUUAUCAGGAUUUGCUUUGUGAAUUGAGGUUUGAUCUGGAACUUUUUAUCUGACUAUAUGUUGAUAUAUUGUGGAUUUGAGUGUGAUUUAGUUGAUUAAACGAAUAAAAG
RNAcentral lists this unclassified non-coding RNA (399 nucleotides) under Hevea brasiliensis (rubber tree). Lineage: Eukaryota; Viridiplantae; Streptophyta; Magnoliopsida; Malpighiales; Euphorbiaceae. The record is from RNAcentral.